This 347-nucleotide ribosomal RNA is filed under the name Bacillus sp. mrc49. RNAcentral describes it as "bacterial SSU rRNA". It matches the Rfam family "Bacterial small subunit ribosomal RNA", at positions 1040 to 1388 of the family's 1533-position model. The record is from RNAcentral. Lineage: Bacteria; Bacillati; Bacillota; Bacilli; Caryophanales; Bacillaceae.
GGUGCAUGGUUGUCGUCAGCUCGUGUCGUGAGAUGUUGGGUUAAGUCCCGCAACGAGCGCAACCCUUGAUCUUAGUUGCCAGCAUUCAGUUGGGCACUCUAAGGUGACUGCCGGUGACAAACCGGAGGAAGGUGGGGAUGACGUCAAAUCAUCAUGCCACUUAUGACCUGGGCUACACACGUGCUACAAUGGAUGGUACAAAGGGCUGCAAACCUGCGAAGGUAAGCGAAUCCCAUAAAGCCAUUCUCAGUUCGGAUUGCAGGCUGCAACUCGCCUGCAUGAAGCCGGAAUCGCUAGUAAUCGCGGAUCAGCAUGCCGCGGUGAAUACGUUCCCGGGCCUUGUACAC